RNAcentral lists this transfer RNA (73 nucleotides) under Treponema sp. RNAcentral's name for it is "tRNA-Thr". It matches the Rfam family "tRNA". Rfam says of the family: Transfer RNA (tRNA) molecules are approximately 80 nucleotides in length. Their secondary structure includes four short double-helical elements and three loops (D, anti-codon, and T loops). Lineage: Bacteria; Pseudomonadati; Spirochaetota; Spirochaetia; Treponematales; Treponemataceae. The record is from RNAcentral.
GCCGCCUUAGCUCAGUUGGCAGAGCGGCGCACUUGUAAUGCGCAGGUCUUCGGUUCGAUUCCGGACGGCGGCU